UGAGGAAUAUUGGGCAAUGCCCGAAAGGGUGACCCAGCAACGCCGCGUGGAGGAUGAAGGUCGUAAGAUUGUAAACUCCUUUUAGAGGGGAAGAAUAACUAAGUUUGGAGCUUAGUAUGACUGUACCCUCAGAGAAAGCCCCGGCUAACUACGUGCCAGCAGCCGCGGUAAUACGUAGGGGGCAAGCGUUGUUCGGAUUUACUGGGUGUAAAGGGCGCGUAGGCGGAAUGGAAAGUCAGUGGUGAAAUCCUACAGCUUAACUGUAGAACUGCCUUUGAUACUGUCACUCUUGAGUUCGGGAGGGGGAGGCGGAAUUCCAGGUGUAGCGGUGAAAUACGUAGAUAUCUGGAAGAACACCGGUUGCGAAGGCGGUCUCUUGGUCCGACACUGACUCUGAGGCGCGAAAGCGUGGGGAGCAAACA
This 422-nucleotide ribosomal RNA is filed under the name uncultured bacterium. RNAcentral describes it as "bacterial SSU rRNA". It matches the Rfam family "Bacterial small subunit ribosomal RNA", at positions 355 to 774 of the family's 1533-position model. The record is from RNAcentral.